UAGAGUUUGAUCAUGGCUCAGGACGAACGCUGGCGGCAUGCCUAAUACAUGCAAGUCGAACGCUGAAACACUCUGCUUGCAGAGUGCGGAUGAGUGGCGAACGGGUGAGUAACACGUGGGUGAUCUGCCCUGCACUGUGGGAUAAGCCUGGGAAACUGGGUCUAAUACCAUAUAUGACCGCAUUUUGGAUGGUGUGGUGGAAAGCUUUUGCGGUGUGGGAUGAGCCUGCGGCCUAUCAGCUUGUUGGUGGGGUAAUGGCCUACCAAGGCGGCGACGGGUAUCCGGCCUGAGAGGGUGUACGGACACAUUGGGACUGAGAUACGGCCCAGACUCCUACGGGAGGCAGCAGUGGGGAAUAUUGCACAAUGGGCGCAAGCCUGAUGCAGCGACGCCGCGUGGGGGAUGAAGGCCUUCGGGUUGUAAACUCCUUUCGCUAUCGACGAAGCCACUUGUGGUGACGGUAGGUAGAUAAGAAGCACCGGCUAACUACGU
Molecule: ribosomal RNA, 492 nt
Filed under: uncultured bacterium
Lineage: Bacteria
Description: bacterial SSU rRNA
Rfam family: Bacterial small subunit ribosomal RNA
Source: RNAcentral